Molecule: long non-coding RNA, 1140 nt
Filed under: Phasianus colchicus (ring-necked pheasant)
Lineage: Eukaryota; Metazoa; Chordata; Aves; Galliformes; Phasianidae
Description: lncRNA (ENSPCLG00000013436.1)
Source: RNAcentral
UGAGCUUGGUGUCACAGCAACCCGGAAUGCAGACCAGAAGGGCAGUGCCAGCCAGAGAUCGCCGCUGAGCACCUGAGUGAGCGAGGGCUGUGGUGGGCAGGAGCAUCCCGUGGGGAUGGAUAGGAGCUGCUCCUCUUCUGCCUCACAGCCACACACGAGGACAGGGACACAGCGGGACGGCGAGGUGCUCCUGUCUUCACCCGCAUUUGUCCCCUACAAGAGGGCCACUCUCUGCAGGACAGUGGCGCAGGUGCUGGCACCAGACCUAUUGACUGCAGGGGCCCUUCCCACAAACGGACGUGGAAACGGCUGGCAGACCAACAACCUGAUGGCCAGCCACUCAGAGAUGGAACCAGAACAGGACACACGCCUAUCCUCAGCUCACUAACUGGUCUCCAUGCUGCCACACAGAAAAGGUGCUGGCACCAACCUACAGAUUGCAGUGGCCCUUCCCACAUACGGCUGUGGAAAUGGCUGUCAGACCAGCAACCCCGUGAGCAAGGGCCUGCAGGGGAGGGGAGCACAGGUAGCUGCUUCUUUGCUGCUCCUCUGUCUUGCAGAUGGACAUCUGGACACACACAGGACCAGACCACCGCAGCCUCCGCCAACCAGCCCUGUCUGCACCUGGACAAGGCACCGACCGAAGCAUGAGGAAAGCACACACCCCGCUCUGCACCGCACCAUGCUCCUACAGGAUCUGAGCAUCCGCACCGCAUGCACAAAGACAGCUCCACAGCACCUCCCAGCUACACACCCCACAACGGACCUACACACACACGGACAUUCUCCACAGACACGAGCAGCUGCUUACGUCUGCUCACCUGAGCAUGGAGUCAGGACCUUCAAUGUGGCACACAUGAGCAUCUCCAGGAACCACAUGAACUGUCUACAGUUGAACUUCAACGAUAAGGAAGGAACAAGAAGCUAAAAAUGAUGCAUGGGCCCAACUGAAAAAUACCAGAGACACCACAUCCAGAAGAGAAAGCAAGCACUAUAACUCAGACCGAGGAUGAAAGUUUAGGAAAGAUGAAGACUUGCAACCUUCCUCCCUCGACCCCCAGACGACCACCAAGAAGCUAUCACACCAUUAAAAAAAUUUUUUUUAGACCUUCAAAAUAAACUUUGUGAUUCAUUAAACCA